This 819-nucleotide ribosomal RNA is filed under the name uncultured marine archaeon. RNAcentral's name for it is "bacterial SSU rRNA". It matches the Rfam family "Archaeal small subunit ribosomal RNA", at positions 28 to 853 of the family's 1478-position model. The record is from RNAcentral.
UGCUAUCGGAUUGAUACUAAGCCAUGCGAGUCAUUGUAGUAAUACAAGGCAGACGGCUCAGUAACGCGUAGUCAACCUACCCUAUGGACGGGAAUAACCUCGGGAAACUGAGUAUAAUGCCCGAUAGAACACUAUACCUGGAAUGGUUUGUGUUCCAAAUGAUUUAUCGCCGUAGGAUGGGACUGCGGCCUAUCAGUUUGUUGGUGAGGUAAUGGCCCACCAAGACUAUUACAGGUACGGGCUCUGAGAGGAGUAGCCCGGAGAUGGGUACUGAGACACGGACCCAGGCCCUAUGGGGCGCAGCAGGCGAGAAAACUUUGCAAUGUGCGAAAGCACGACAAGGUUAAUCCGAGUGGUUUGUGCUAAACGAACCUUUUGACAGUCCUAGAAACACUGUUGAAUAAGGGGUGGGCAAGUUCUGGUGUCAGCCGCCGCGGUAAAACCAGCACCUCAAGUGGUCAGGAUGAUUAUUGGGCCUAAAGCAUCCGUAGCCGGCUCUGUUAGUUUUCGGUUAAAUCUGUACGCUCAACGUACAGGCUGCCGGGAAUACUGCAGAGCUAGGGAGUGGGAGAGGUAGACGGUACUCGGUAGGAAGGGGUAAAAUCCUUUGAUCUAUUGAUGACCACCUGUGGCGAAGGCGGUCUACCAGAACACGUCCGACGGUGAGGGAUGAAAGCUGGGGGAGCAAACCGGAUUAGAUACCCGGGUAGUCCCAGCUGUAAACCAUGCAAACUCAGCGAUGCAUUGGCUUGUGGCCAAUGCAGUGCUGCAGGGAAGCCGUUAAGUUUGCCGCCUGGGAAGUGCGUACGCAAGUAUGAA